This 696-nucleotide long non-coding RNA is filed under the name Elaeis guineensis (African oil palm). RNAcentral's name for it is "long non-coding RNA (EGUI_LNC019868)". The record is from RNAcentral. Lineage: Eukaryota; Viridiplantae; Streptophyta; Magnoliopsida; Arecales; Arecaceae.
CUUUUCUUCUUCUUCUUCCCGGGCUUUUCAUUGGGCCGAAACAGGGGACCUAGAGGUCCCCGUGCCUUGACCGGCCAAUCACGACCAUAUCAUGGCCGGUGGUGGCCGGCGGCAACGGCUGACUCUCCCGGGUUCGGAGAGACCAGAGCCGGCGGUCGGCGUGACCGUCGGCGUCGGAAAAUCAAAGGAAAGAGGCGGCGAACAGGGGGUUUCCUUCUCCAACUAAAUCCGGCGACACCCGUCGCCGGCCAUCGUGCUCACAGGCACGGGAAAGAAGGGAGAGAAGAGAGGGAGAGGAGGGAGACCUUACCACAACCUCCGGUGACCCCCACCGACGAGAAAUCGCGGCGAACACGGGUCGAGGAGUCGCGGCUUCAAACGGAAAAAUCGGAGAAAAAUCUCUGGCAAUCGGCGGCGACUGAAGGGUCUACCCAUAGAGGAGAGAGGGGGGUUUCUUAUAGGGUUCGUCCUAGGGUCUUUUAAUGGCCCUAGGACUCCGAUUUUUGAUCGGAGAAGAGGAAGACUCCGAUCGGGAGUCUUCCUGCUCUGUUUAUCUCUUUUUUUUUUUUUUCAAACCGGGCUAGUGGGUCGGGCCUUCACAUUCUACCCCCCUAAAAAAAAUUUCGUCCUCGAAAUUUAACAUACCUUCAUUUUCAAAUAAGUGUGGAUAUCUCGUCUUCAUAUCAUCUUCAAGCU